Paenibacillus sp. Leaf72 is the source of this 113-nucleotide regulatory RNA element. It matches the Rfam family "epsC RNA". Lineage: Bacteria; Bacillati; Bacillota; Bacilli; Caryophanales; Paenibacillaceae. The record is from Rfam.
AGGUAAUGUCUCCUGCACCUAUAUCACUGGAGGCACUCGAUCAUGCUGUGGGCCGCGAACGGCCUUAGACGUAGAGCGUCGGUGGUGUGGGGUGAGGAGGGGUUAGAUGCCCU